ACUAAGCGUACACGGUGGAUGCCCUGGCAGUCAGAGGCGAUGAAGGACGUGCUAAUCUGCGAUAAGCGUCGGUAAGGUGAUAUGAACCGUUAUAACCGGCGAUUUCCGAAUGGGGAAACCCAGUGUGAUUCGUCACACUAUCAUUAACUGAAUCCAUAGGUUAAUGAGGCGAACCGGGGGAACUGAAACAUCUAAGUACCCCGAGGAAAAGAAAUCAACCGAGAUUCCCCAGUAGCGGCGAGCGAACGGGGAGGAGCCCAGAGCCUGAAUCAGUGUGUGUGUUAGUGGAAGCGUCUGGAAAGGCGCGCGAUACAGGGUGACAGCCCCGUACACAAAAAUGCACAUAUUGUGAGCUCGAUGAGUAGGGCGGGACACGUGGUAUCCUGUCUGAAUAUGGGGGGACCAUCCUCCAAGGCUAAAUACUCCUGACUGACCGAUAGUGAACCAGUACCGUGAGGGAAAGGCGAAAAGAACCCCGGCGAGGGGAGUGAAAAAGAACCUGAAACCGUGUACGUACAAGCAGUGGGAGCACGCUUAGGCGUGUGACUGCGUACCUUUUGUAUAAUGGGUCAGCGACUUAUAUUCUGUAGCAAGGUUAACCGAAUAGGGGAGCCGAAGGGAAACCGAGUCUUAACUGGGCGUUAAGUUGCAGGGUAUAGACCCGAAACCCGGUGAUCUAGCCAUGGGCAGGUUGAAGGUUGGGUAACACUAACUGGAGGACCGAACCGACUAAUGUUGAAAAAUUAGCGGAUGACUUGUGGCUGGGGGUGAAAGGCCAAUCAAACCGGGAGAUAGCUGGUUCUCCCCGAAAGCUAUUUAGGUAGCGCCUCGUGAAUUCAUCUCCGGGGGUAGAGCACUGUUUCGGCAAGGGGGUCAUCCCGACUUACCAACCCGAUGCAAACUGCGAAUACCGGAGAAUGUUAUCACGGGAGACACACGGCGGGUGCUAACGUCCGUCGUGAAGAGGGAAACAACCCAGACCGCCAGCUAAGGUCCCAAAGUCAUGGUUAAGUGGGAAACGAUGUGGGAAGGCCCAGACAGCCAGGAUGUUGGCUUAGAAGCAGCCAUCAUUUAAAGAAAGCGUAAUAGCUCACUGGUCGAGUCGGCCUGCGCGGAAGAUGUAACGGGGCUAAACCAUGCACCGAAGCUGCGGCAGCGACGCUGAUGCGUUGUUGGGUAGGGGAGCGUUCUGUAAGCCUGCGAAGGUGUGCUGUGAGGCAUGCUGGAGGUAUCAGAAGUGCGAAUGCUGACAUAAGUAACGAUAAAGCGGGUGAAAAGCCCGCUCGCCGGAAGACCAAGGGUUCCUGUCCAACGUUAAUCGGGGCAGGGUGAGUCGACCCCUAAGGCGAGGCCGAAAGGCGUAGUCGAUGGGAAACAGGUUAAUAUUCCUGUACUUGGUGUUACUGCGAAGGGGGGACGGAGAAGGCUAUGUUGGCCGGGCGACGGUUGUCCCGGUUUAAGCGUGUAGGCUGGUUUUCCAGGCAAAUCCGGAAAAUCAAGGCUGAGGCGUGAUGACGAGGCACUACGGUGCUGAAGCAACAAAUGCCCUGCUUCCAGGAAAAGCCUCUAAGCAUCAGGUAACAUCAAAUCGUACCCCAAACCGACACAGGUGGUCAGGUAGAGAAUACCAAGGCGCUUGAGAGAACUCGGGUGAAGGAACUAGGCAAAAUGGUGCCGUAACUUCGGGAGAAGGCACGCUGAUAUGUAGGUGAGGUCCCUCGCGGAUGGAGCUGAAAUCAGUCGAAGAUACCAGCUGGCUGCAACUGUUUAUUAAAAACACAGCACUGUGCAAACACGAAAGUGGACGUAUACGGUGUGACGCCUGCCCGGUGCCGGAAGGUUAAUUGAUGGGGUUAGCGCAAGCGAAGCUCUUGAUCGAAGCCCCGGUAAACGGCGGCCGUAACUAUAACGGUCCUAAGGUAGCGAAAUUCCUUGUCGGGUAAGUUCCGACCUGCACGAAUGGCGUAAUGAUGGCCAGGCUGUCUCCACCCGAGACUCAGUGAAAUUGAACUCGCUGUGAAGAUGCAGUGUACCCGCGGCAAGACGGAAAGACCCCGUGAACCUUUACUAUAGCUUGACACUGAACAUUGAGCCUUGAUGUGUAGGAUAGGUGGGAGGCUUGGAAGUGUGGACGCCAGUCUGCAUGGAGCCGACCUUGAAAUACCACCCUUUAAUGUUUGAUGUUCUAACGUUGACCCGUAAUCCGGGUUGCGGACAGUGUCUGGUGGGUAGUUUGACUGGGGCGGUCUCCUCCUAAAGAGUAACGGAGGAGCACGAAGGUUGGCUAAUCCUGGUCGGACAUCAGGAGGUUAGUGCAAUGGCAUAAGCCAGCUUGACUGCGAGCGUGACGGCGCGAGCAGGUGCGAAAGCAGGUCAUAGUGAUCCGGUGGUUCUGAAUGGAAGGGCCAUCGCUCAACGGAUAAAAGGUACUCCGGGGAUAACAGGCUGAUACCGCCCAAGAGUUCAUAUCGACGGCGGUGUUUGGCACCUCGAUGUCGGCUCAUCACAUCCUGGGGCUGAAGUAGGUCCCAAGGGUAUGGCUGUUCGCCAUUUAAAGUGGUACGCGAGCUGGGUUUAGAACGUCGUGAGACAGUUCGGUCCCUAUCUGCCGUGGGCGCUGGAGAACUGAGGGGGGCUGCUCCUAGUACGAGAGGACCGGAGUGGACGCAUCACUGGUGUUCGGGUUGUCAUGCCAAUGGCACUGCCCGGUAGCUAAAUGCGGAAGAGAUAAGUGCUGAAAGCAUCUAAGCACGAAACUUGCCCCGAGAUGAGUUCUCCCUGACUCCUUGAGAGUCCUGAAGGAACGUUGAAGACGACGACGUUGAUAGGCCGGGUGUGUAAGCGCAGCGAUGCGUUGAGCUAACCGGUACUAAUGAACCGUGAGGCUUAACC
Molecule: ribosomal RNA, 2892 nt
Filed under: Escherichia coli
Lineage: Bacteria; Pseudomonadati; Pseudomonadota; Gammaproteobacteria; Enterobacterales; Enterobacteriaceae
Description: bacterial LSU rRNA
Rfam family: Bacterial large subunit ribosomal RNA
Source: RNAcentral